RNAcentral lists this ribosomal RNA (610 nucleotides) under Sphingobacterium sp. CH240. Its description in RNAcentral is "bacterial SSU rRNA". It matches the Rfam family "Bacterial small subunit ribosomal RNA", at positions 716 to 1331 of the family's 1533-position model. Lineage: Bacteria; Pseudomonadati; Bacteroidota; Sphingobacteriia; Sphingobacteriales; Sphingobacteriaceae. The record is from RNAcentral.
CGAAGGCAGCUCACUAAGCUGGUAUUGACGCUGAUGCACGAAAGCGUGGGGAUCGAACAGGAUUAGAUACCCUGGUAGUUCACGCCCUUAACGAUGAUAACUCGAUGUUGGCGAUAGACAGCCAGCGUUCAAGCGAAAGCGUUAAGUUAUCCACCUGGGGAGUACGGCCGCAAGGGUGAAACUCAAAGGAAUUGACGGGGGCCCGCUCAAGCGGAGGAGCAUGUGGUUUAAUUCGAUGAUACGCGAGGAACCUUACCCGGGCUUGAAAGUUAGUGAAGAGUGCAGAGACGCCCUCGUCCUUCGGGACCCGAAACUAGGUGCUGCAUGGCUGUUGUCAGCUCGUGCCGUGAGGUGUUGGGUUAAGUCCCGCAACGAGCGCAACCCCUAUGUUUAGUUGCCAGCAUGUAAUGGUGGGGACUCUAAACAGACUGCCUGUGCAAACAGAGAGGAAGGUGGGGACGACGUCAAGUCAUCAUGGCCCUUACGUCCGGGGCUACACACGUGCUACAAUGGAUGGUACAGCGGGCAGCUACAUAGCAAUAUGAUGCUAAUCUCUAAAAGCCAUUCACAGUUCGGAUUGGGGUCUGCAACUCGACCCCAUGAAGUGGAU